This is a long non-coding RNA of Sphaeramia orbicularis (orbiculate cardinalfish), 457 nucleotides long. RefSeq lists it as uncharacterized. The transcript has 3 exons. NCBI's taxonomy places the organism in Eukaryota, Metazoa, Chordata, Actinopteri, Kurtiformes, Apogonidae. The record is from RefSeq and is a predicted model, not a curated record.
CGUUAAUAUUUUCAGUGUGAUUUUUGCAUUUCACCAGUUCAUCUGAGGGGCUGAACUGGACCCUUUGGUGGGCUGGAUUUUGGCCCCCGGACCACAUGUUUGACACCUGUGCUCUACAGUGUCCUCCAUGGUUCAGUUGAUGCUGUAAAAGUUUGGAUAUUUUUGUUUUUAUUCCAGAAACUUCUGACCUUUCCCUCCAAAUCCAAAUGAAACUACUGUCACGUAGAGCCUUUACACACAGAAAAUAAACACAUGAAAACGUGUAGACCUUAAUAAUCAGACAAAAUAUUCUUAUUUUCCUAUAAGGAAAUCCUCAUGUUUUAACCUGGUACAGUUCACAAGGAGUGGUUUUUCAUGACAUGGUCUCCAUCAUCAAACUGUGACCUUCCAUCUUCAUCCUAAUCACAUUCCAGAGGUUUUUUUUUUUGUUUGUUUAGGUCUCGUUCUUUGACCUGUU